Molecule: unclassified non-coding RNA, 24 nt
Filed under: Mus musculus (house mouse)
Lineage: Eukaryota; Metazoa; Chordata; Mammalia; Rodentia; Muridae
Description: oocyte_clustered_small_RNA9216
Source: RNAcentral
UAGGCCCUCAGGGGGAAAGGAGAA